Molecule: ribosomal RNA, 459 nt
Filed under: uncultured bacterium
Lineage: Bacteria
Description: partial 16S ribosomal RNA
Rfam family: Bacterial small subunit ribosomal RNA
Source: RNAcentral
CUACGGGGUGCUGCAGUGAGGAAUAUUGGUCAAUGGCCGAGAGGCUGAACCAGCCAUCCCGCGUGCAGGAUGACGGCCCUAUGGGUUGUAAACUGCUUUUCUACGCCAAGAGAUCUGAUUACGUGUAAUUAGUUGACGGUAGCGUAGGAAUAAGCAUCGGCUAACUCCGUGCCAGCAGCCGCGGUAAUACGGAGGAUGCAAGCGUUAUCCGGAUUCAUUGGGUUUAAAGGGUGCGCAGGCGGGCUUGUAAGUCAGUGGUGAAAUACUGCCGCUUAACGGUAGAACUGCCAUUGAUACUGCAAGUCUUGAAUAUGGUUGAGGUAGGCGGAAUGUGUUGUGUAGCGGUGAAAUGCAUAGAUAUGACACAGAACGCCGAUUGCGAAGGCAGCUUACUAAGCCAUUAUUGACGCUGAGGCACGAAAGCGUGGGGAGCGAACAGGAUUAGAUACCCCAGUAGUC